AACGAACGCUGGCGGCAUGCCUAACACAUGCAAGUCGAACGCUCUUGGGGAUUUCGGUCUCCAAGGGAGUGGCGCACGGGUGAGUAGCGCGUGGGAACCUGCCCUGUUGUGGGGGAUAACCGAGGGAAACUUCGGCUAAUACCGCAUGCGCCCGGUGAGCGAUCAUCGGGGAAAGAUUUAUCGCAGCAGGAGGGGCCCGCGUCGGAUUAGCUGGUUGGUGGGGUAACGGCCUACCAAGGCGAUGAUCCGUAGCUGGUCUGAGAGGAUGAUCAGCCACACUGGGACUGAGACACGGCCCAGACUCCUACGGGAGGCAGCAGUGGGGAAUAUUGCGCAAUGGGCGAAAGCCUGACGCAGCGACGCCGCGUGGGGGAUGACGGCCUUCGGGUUGUAAACCUCUUUCAGCAGGGACGAAGCCGUGAGGUGACGGUACCUGCAGAAGAAGCACCGGCCAACUACGUGCCAGCAGCCGCGGUAAUACGUAGGGUGCAAGCGUUGUCCGGAAUUAUUGGGCGUAAAGAGCUCGUAGGCGGUUUGUUGCGUCGGCUGUGACAUCCCGAGGCUCAACCUCGGGUCUGCAGUCGAUACGAGCAAACUAGAGUGUUGCAGGGGAGACUGGAAUUCCUGGUGUAGCGGUGAAAUGCGCAGAUAUCAGGAGGAACACCGGUGGCGAAGGCGGGUCUCUGUGCAACAACUGACGCUGAGGAGCGAAAGCGUGGGGAGCGAACAGGAUUAGAUACCCUGGUAGUCCACGCUGUAAACGAUGUGUGCUGGAUGUUGGGUGGCUUAGCCAUUCAGUGUCGUAGCUAACGCGAUAAGCACACCGCCUGGGGAGUACGGCCGCAAGGUUGAA
This 853-nucleotide ribosomal RNA is filed under the name uncultured bacterium. RNAcentral's name for it is "bacterial SSU rRNA". It matches the Rfam family "Bacterial small subunit ribosomal RNA", at positions 28 to 898 of the family's 1533-position model. The record is from RNAcentral.